RNAcentral lists this long non-coding RNA (228 nucleotides) under Lathyrus oleraceus (garden pea). Its description in RNAcentral is "Pisum sativum (pea) long non-coding RNA (PSAT_LNC011115)". Lineage: Eukaryota; Viridiplantae; Streptophyta; Magnoliopsida; Fabales; Fabaceae. The record is from RNAcentral.
AGAAGAAUAAAAAAAAAAGUAAAGCUUCGGAGGAGAGGAAGGAAACCAUAAAGAUCAUGAUCUUAGUGAAAUUUUAUGAAAAUUGCCCCAUUCAAUUGACAUGAAUUAAUUCCUUGAUAAAUUAAAAUAUGUCACCAAUGGGGUUCGAACCCAAAACCUCCUUGUUAUGGAACAUGCCUUACCACUAGGCUAAGCUCUUGUUGUCAAAUAUGUCUGCAAGGAACAAAU